UCCAACUCAUGUACUUUCUCCUUAGUCAAAAAACCCCAUCUAAUCCGCGGUUGUCCCCGAGCACCCCUCCUCUUACUCUUCACCCAGAGAACGACAUCCAUCACUAGGAGUCUAUGAAGAGUCAAAAGGGACUCUCCUGGAAUAACCUUGCAGUCCUUGCACGUACCCGAUCGCCCCUUCUGAGGAGGAGGUAAUCAAUCUGAGUCCUCGCCGCCGAACUCUUGAAGGUGACCAAAUGCUCCUCCCUCUUC
RNAcentral lists this long non-coding RNA (251 nucleotides) under Nicotiana benthamiana. RNAcentral describes it as "long non-coding RNA (NBEN_LNC036349)". The record is from RNAcentral. Lineage: Eukaryota; Viridiplantae; Streptophyta; Magnoliopsida; Solanales; Solanaceae.